Molecule: ribosomal RNA, 508 nt
Filed under: uncultured bacterium
Lineage: Bacteria
Description: bacterial SSU rRNA
Rfam family: Bacterial small subunit ribosomal RNA
Source: RNAcentral
ACGCUGGCGGCGUGCUUAACACAUGCAAGUCGAACGAAAAGAGGGGAAGAGCUUGCUCUUUUCAGAAUUGAGUGGCAAACGGGUGAGUAACACGUAAACAACCUGCCUUCAGGAUGGGGACAACAGACGGAAACGACUGCUAAUACCGAAUAAGUUCUAAGAGCCGCAUGGCCCAUGGAAGAAAAGGUGGCCUCUACCUGUAAGCUAUCGCCUGAAGAGGGGUUUGCGUCUGAUUAGCUGGUUGGAGGGGUAACGGCCCACCAAGGCGACGAUCAGUAGCCGGUCUGAGAGGAUGAACGGCCACACUGGAACUGAGACACGGUCCAGACUCCUACGGGAGGCAGCAGUGGGGAAUCUUCCGCAAUGGGCGAAAGCCUGACGGAGCAACGCCGCGUGAGUGAUGACGGCCUUCGGGUUGUAAAACUCUGUGAUCCGGGACGAAAAGGCAGAGUGCGAAGAACAAACUGCAUUGACGGUACCGGAAAAGCAAGCCACGGCUAACUACGUG